GCAUAGUGCAGUGGUAUGUGUGUUUAGUCCUAGCUACUUGGGAGGCCGAGGCAAGAGGAUUCCUUGAGUGCAGGAGUCCUGGGCUGUAGUGCACUAUACUGAUCAAGUGUCCACAUUAAGUUUGGCAUUGAUGGUGACUGACCUUCUAGGAGCAGGGGACUACUAGGCUGCUUCAGGAAGGAUAAACCAGGUUGGAAACAGAGCACAUUAAAAUUCCUCUGCUGAUCAAUAGUGGGAUUGUGCCUGUGAAUAGCUACUGUACUCCAGCCUGGGCUUUAUAGCAAGACCCUGUU
Molecule: signal recognition particle RNA, 293 nt
Filed under: Saimiri boliviensis boliviensis (Bolivian squirrel monkey)
Lineage: Eukaryota; Metazoa; Chordata; Mammalia; Primates; Cebidae
Description: Metazoan signal recognition particle RNA (ENSSBOG00000000170.1)
Rfam family: Metazoan signal recognition particle RNA
About the family: The signal recognition particle (SRP) is a universally conserved ribonucleoprotein. It is involved in the co-translational targeting of proteins to membranes.
Source: Rfam by way of RNAcentral